UAUCGAUCGAUAUCAUUUUAUCCGGGCUUUGCAAUGUAUGAAAUCUUACAUUACACUUUCCUUUCAUUAUCAUCAUGUUUCAUCCACUGUUCUGUGUUGGUCAGUCAACUUCCUCCAUUUCACUCUAUCUAGCCAAAUCUGUUUUUCAAUAGUUGUCCAAUCAUUUUCAGUUUUUCUCAGUAUCUUUUCUCUCUUUUUUUUGAGGGCGUCUCUGGGUCUUUUCCCAUUAAUCCGCUUCUCAAACAUCAUUUUGGGCAAACUAUCUUCAUUUUGCCUUUUCAUGUGGCCAAACCAUCUUAAUCUAGAGUAGGUCAUAACUGUGUCGAUACUUUCUAUGUUUAAAGUAUUAUUUUCUCUCUUCGUAUUUUGUUUACUAUUGUUUUUAGGAAUGUUGCAACGGACGACUGAAUGGCAAUGGUCGUCGACGACGGAAACGCGACUGAAAAUAACUUCAAGAAAUGCUCUACGUUAUAAAAAUUCAAAUUUAAUAUAUAUUAAAAAAAGCGAUAUGGAUAAUAAUCGGGUUAAAAUAUGAAGUGAAUGAUCCAUUCAAGUCCACAGACUGCCUGCAUUGUAAUAGUUGAUCUGUAGAGUAUAAUAAUCAGCAAAUUUUCAAGAAAACAUUCCAAGGUAUAAGACCCAAAUUCAAUUCUACAUACUCUGAAUGGAAUGCUGUAAAAUCUUUUAUGCAUUUCUGCUAAUUCGGCAUAUCGUUCUGUUAUUUAAUUAUAUUGUACAUGCUGUAUUCAAGCCAAGCAGCUAACAAAGACUGACUCAACAACAAAUUGAAAUUUCUUAUCAAUGACUUGGCUUAUUAUGUUUGGAUGUUACUGGAGAGGAUAUUAUUGGUUCAUUCAGAAAGCAAAUUAUCUCGCUUCCAUUACAAAUAUAUGAAGAACUUUACAUAAAACAAAUUUAGGGAAAUCAAUAAGAAUUAAACUAAUGAAUAAAAUAAAUAAAAUUUUCUGAACUACAGUCCAAUUUUUAGAACUGAAUGAUAUUGUUAGCCUAACAGAACCAUAUUAGGCUAACAAUAUCACAAAUUUACAAAUGCCAAUAACUCAGAUAUUUUAUUUCCUUGGUCACUAAAAUAUAUACCAUUUUAAUUUAGAAAUUGCAUUUGAAUUAUAUAGAGCUCCAAACAUCUCUGCUAUAUUGUGCCUGAUGUUCUGGCAAACAGUUUCAAGAAUUACUGGACAGAUAAGGACCCAUUAUAUGAUUUAAAGUAGAACCCAGUUUAUACGUUUUUGAAGGGGAUUGAUAAAAAUUACGUACAAGUGAGAU
RNAcentral lists this long non-coding RNA (1284 nucleotides) under Androctonus crassicauda. The record is from RNAcentral. Lineage: Eukaryota; Metazoa; Arthropoda; Arachnida; Scorpiones; Buthidae.